AAAAGCAUUGAAAAAUGCAGUAAAAAAAGUUAAUUUGCAAUUUGGACCCGGAAGGACAACAAGUUCAGUCUCUGGGAAGACAACACAAGGGUUAAACUGGC
Long non-coding RNA from Etheostoma spectabile (orangethroat darter), 101 nucleotides. RefSeq lists it as uncharacterized. The transcript has 3 exons. The record is from RefSeq and is a predicted model, not a curated record. Lineage: Eukaryota; Metazoa; Chordata; Actinopteri; Perciformes; Percidae.